UACGUAGGGUGCAAGCGUUAAUCGGAAUUACUGGGCGUAAAGCGUGCGCAGGCGGUUGUGCAAGACAGAUGUGAAAUCCCCGGGCUCAACCUGGGAAUUGCAUUUGUGACUGCACGGCUAGAGUGUGUCAGAGGGGGGUAGAAUUCCACGUGUAGCAGUGAAAUGCGUAGAGAUGUGGAGGAAUACCGAUGACGAAGGCAGCCCCCCUGGGAUAACACUGACGCUCAUGCACGAAAGCGUGGGGAGCAAACAGG
RNAcentral lists this ribosomal RNA (254 nucleotides) under uncultured bacterium. Its description in RNAcentral is "partial 16S ribosomal RNA". It matches the Rfam family "Bacterial small subunit ribosomal RNA", at positions 524 to 776 of the family's 1533-position model. The record is from RNAcentral.